This 406-nucleotide ribosomal RNA is filed under the name uncultured bacterium. RNAcentral's name for it is "partial 16S ribosomal RNA". It matches the Rfam family "Bacterial small subunit ribosomal RNA", at positions 30 to 526 of the family's 1533-position model. The record is from RNAcentral.
AUUGAACGCUAGCGGCAGGCCUAACACAUGCAAGUCGCACGAGUGGCGGAAGGGUGAGUAAUGUAUCGGAAAGUGCCAGAUAGAGGGGGAUAACUACUGGAAACGGUAGCUAAUACCGCAUACACUUGGCAGUGCCGAUAUGGGAUUAGCUAGUGGGUGGGGUAAAGGCUAACCAAGGCGACGAUCCCUAGCUGGUCUGAGAGGAUGACCAACCACACUGGAACUGAGACACGGUCCAGAUUCCUACGGGAGGCAGCAGUGGGGAAUAUUGCACAAUGGGCGCAAGCCUGAUGCAGCCAUGCCGCGUGUAUGAAGAAGGCCUUCGGGUUGUAAAGUACUUUCAGCGGAGAGGCGUUACCCGCAGAAGAAGCACCGGCUAACUCCGUGCCAGCAGCCGCGGUAAUAC